Molecule: ribosomal RNA, 332 nt
Filed under: uncultured bacterium
Lineage: Bacteria
Description: bacterial SSU rRNA
Rfam family: Bacterial small subunit ribosomal RNA
Source: RNAcentral
UGCGUAGGCGGUGUUCUAAGUCGGAUGUGAAAACUCUGGGCUCAACCCAGAGCCUGCAUCUGAAACUGGAGUGCUAGAGUUCUGGAGGGGGUAGCGGAAUUCCUGGUGUAGCGGCGAAAUGCGUAGAUAUCAGGAGGAACACCGGUGGCGAAGGCGGCUACCUGGACAGAAACUGACGCUGAGGCACGAAAGUUAGGGGAGCAAACAGGAUUAGAUACCCUGGUAGUCCUAGCCCUAAACGAUGGAUACUUGCUGUGACGGGGAUUGAAUCCCGUCGUGGCGAAGCUAACGCAUUAAGUAUCCCGCCUGGGGAGUACGGUCGCAAGGCUGAA